GAUGAACGCUGGCGGCGUGCUUAACACAUGCGAGUCGAACGAGAGAAGAUCGGUGCUUGCACUGAUCCGAUCGAGUGGCGGACGGGUGAGUAACGCGCGGGUAACCUGCCUCAUACAGGGGAAUAACAGUUGGAAACGGCUGCUAAAACCGCAUAAGCGCACAGUAUCGCAUGAUAAAGUGUGAAAAACUCCGGUGGUAUGAGAGGGACCCGCGUCUGAUUAGCUAGUUGGUGAGGUAACGGCCCACCAAGGCAACGAUCAGUAGCCGGCCUGAGAGGGUGAACGGCCACAUUGGGACUGAGACACGGCCCAAACUCCUACGGGAGGCAGCAGUGGGGAAUAUUGCACAAUGGGGGAAACCCUGAUGCAGCGACGCCGCGUGAGUGAUGAAGUAUUUCGGUAUGCAAAGCUCUAUCAGCAGGGAAGAUAAUGACGGUACCUGACUAAGAAGCACCGGCUAAAUACGUGCCAGCAGCCGCAGUAA
This 484-nucleotide ribosomal RNA is filed under the name uncultured bacterium. RNAcentral's name for it is "partial 16S ribosomal RNA". It matches the Rfam family "Bacterial small subunit ribosomal RNA", at positions 28 to 523 of the family's 1533-position model. The record is from RNAcentral.